UACGGAGGAUUCGAGCGUUAUCCGGAUUUAUUGGGUUUAAAGGGUGCGUAGGCGGACUAAUAAGUCAGCUGUGAAAGCUUGCAGCUUAACUGUGAAACUGCCGUUGAUACUGUUAGUCUUGAGUUUGGUUAAGGUGGGCGGAAUUUGUAAUGUAGCGGUGAAAUGCUUAGAUAUCACAAAGAACUCCAAUUGCGAAGGCAGCUCACUGG
RNAcentral lists this ribosomal RNA (209 nucleotides) under uncultured bacterium. Its description in RNAcentral is "partial 16S ribosomal RNA". It matches the Rfam family "Bacterial small subunit ribosomal RNA", at positions 524 to 732 of the family's 1533-position model. The record is from RNAcentral.